CAUUAACUGUUAUUAGUGCUUAGACUAAAUUGUCUCGUUUAAUCUUGUUCAAAUGUUAGUUCCCAAUUAUGAACUGAAUGUUGAGUUUUGAGCUUUUGGGUUUAUUUUCUUCAGCCUUCUAUAUUUCAAGUCUAUUGACGUAUAUAUAUUGUCUAAUAUGCGUGUUUCUAUUGUUAUUUUGAAAUUGUUAAGGGUCUGUUUGGAACUGGUGAGUAAAGGGUAGGUAAUGGAAGGGUAACUGAGGGAAGGUUAAGGAGGGUUACAAUCAAAGAAAAUUUCAUGUUGGGAAAGUGGUGAAUUAAUGGAAAGGUAAACAGAGGUCAUGCAUAUUUUUUGUGUUUGGAAAGAAUUGGAGGAAGGAUAAACUUAAAGAAGGGUAAGAGAGGGUAAGGCUUACCUUUAUUUAUCCCUCUUUCACCCUCAUCCAGUCAAAUCCUAAAAUUCAGUUGAGACUUGAGAUCUAGCUUUUACUUGGGUCUUAGAGUUGGUUUUCAGAAUUUAUAUUUAAAUUCACUAUAGAGUUUUAUUAGCUGGGGAUUAGGUGUUCUACUUCUAGAUUACUUCCUUUACUUUUAAUGAUAUUUUUGAGAAUCAAGCGAGGAAAAGAGGUGGGGGGAGGAUUGGAUAUGGUUGAAAAUUUCAAGUUUCCAGUAUUUGUAUAUCUUAGUCGACAUUGCCUAAAAGAUCUAGUUUUUAGGCUUGCCUAGUUUGUAGCUCAAUGAAGUUUUCCUCAUUUUUCAUUUUGUUUAUUUUUUUUCACCUGCAAAGUUCUUUUUCUUUUUUGUUUUAAUUCAGGAUAGUAAUUGAAAACAAAGAAUAAGAGCUCUUUUAUAUAGCACAGGCCAAUAUGCAAAUUGUUCCUAGAGAGGGUGAUAAUGCUUUGUCUGUCUCUGGUCCAAGGCCAAUGGAAUGGUCUACUGUUCCUUACACUGGGCCACAAGGACCUGGGCCAAAUGGAAAGCAACGGACAUCAAGCUUGGAGUCACCGAUCAUGUUACUCACUGGUCAUCAGAGUGCUGUAUAUACAAUGAAGUUCAAUCCAGCUGGAAAUGUCAUUGCAUCUGGAUCACAUGACAGAGAGAUUUUUCUAUGGUAUGUGCAUGGAGAGUGCAAAAAUUUCAUGGUUUUGAAAGGGCACAAAAAUGCAGUUCUGGAUCUUCACUGGACCACUGACGGAUACCAGAUAAUAUCAGCAAGCCCAGAUAAAACUGUCAGAGCAUGGGAUAUUGAGACAGGGAAACAGAUUAAGAAAAUGGCAGAGCACUCAUCUUUUGUAAAUUCAUGCUGUCCUUCACGGAGGGGGCCGCCACUUGUUGUCAGUGGAUCUGAUGAUGGAACUGCAAAACUUUGGGACAUGCGGCAGAGGGGCGCAAUCCAAACAUUUCCAGAUAAAUACCAAAUCACAGCAGUCAGUUUUUCUGAUGCAUCAGAUAAGAUCUUCACAGGUGGUAUAGACAAUGAUGUUAAGGUUUGGGACCUGCGCAAAGGUGAAGUAACCAUGAAACUUGAAGGCCAUCAAGACAUGAUAACUGGCAUGCAGUUGAGUCCCGAUGGCUCAUAUCUUCUUACUAAUGGUAUGGAUUGCAAGCUCUGCAUUUGGGAUAUGCGUCCUUAUGCACCACAGAAUCGCUGUGUUAAGGUACUGGAAGGGCACCAACACAACUUUGAAAAGAACUUGUUGAAAUGUAGCUGGUCACCUGAUGGAAGCAAGGUUACUGCUGGUAGUUCAGAUCGGAUGGUCUAUAUAUGGGACACAACUUCUCGACGCAUACUGUAUAAACUCCCUGGCCACGCUGGGUCUGUCAAUGAGUGUGUCUUCCACCCUACUGAGCCUAUUGUUGGAUCUUGCAGUAGUGAUAAACAGAUUUAUCUUGGGGAGAUCUGAUUACCAUGUUAUCAAUAUGCGAAAAUGAAUAAACUUCAGAAGUGAGAAUAUUUUGGAGGCCUAUGUGACGGUACCCUGCAAAUUUGUUGAAUAGAAUGUAUUCGUGCUGUAGUUUUUUUUUUGGCUGAGUUUGACUUCUUAGCUGAUAAUGCUAUUUGAUUUGCUUAAAGUAGCUCAAGUACUCUUACCUGGCGCCGAAAUGUCAAAUUCUUAAGGUUGGUAUUUGCUUCUUGGUGGAAUUGUGCUACUGAAAUCUUUGUUUGUAAGAAUUAAAAUAAACUAUUUCUAAGUCAAUUGCUAUUGCAAAACAUGAUCAAAUUUGCAUCUGUAUACUUGUGCAUUGGACUUUCUGUAUGGAAUAGCUUUAGUUAAUCACUGGCAGGUUCUCAGUAGGUGAUGGUUCAAAGGAAACGUUGUAAGAAGCAGCUUUUUUAGCUUUAGUAUAAUUCAGUUUGAUCUGUUGAAUGCGGAAUGAUGCCAGAGUUUGUUUCUGUGGUCUUCUCAGACAGCGAGGCAAGCUAUGGUUGUCAUUCCUGAUGCUUGAAGCUAGGCCUAACCACUGUGCGAUCAGGAUCAUGAAUUGGUCCGGUCAAAUUGGUCUUGGAACUGGGUAUUGCCAGAACCGUUACCAAGAGGGGCCUAAUCUACUCCCCUCCCAACCAUUGAAUCGGAUCGGACUGAAACCGCCAAUUAAGAGACGGAAUUUCUGGAUGAAUUAAUUUUAGGUGUUGUUAAUUUGCGAAUUGUAAUUUGUUGUAAUUUUC
Molecule: unclassified non-coding RNA, 2649 nt
Filed under: Hevea brasiliensis (rubber tree)
Lineage: Eukaryota; Viridiplantae; Streptophyta; Magnoliopsida; Malpighiales; Euphorbiaceae
Source: RNAcentral